CCUACGGGAGGCAGCAGUGGGGAAUAUUGGACAAUGGGGGCAACCCUGAUCCAGCCAUGCCGCGUGUGUGAAGAAGGCCCUCGGGUUGUAAAGCACUUUCAGUGAGGAAGAACGCCUGGUGGUUAAUACCCAUCAGGAAAGACAUCACUCACAGAAGAAGCACCGGCUAACUCCGUGCCAGCAGCCGCGGUAAUACGGAGGGUGCGAGCGUUAAUCGGAAUUACUGGGCGUAAAGCGCGCGUAGGUGGCUUGAUAAGCCGGUUGUGAAAGCCCCGGGCUCAACCUGGGAACGGCAUCCGGAACUGUCAAGCUAGAGUGCAGGAGAGGAAGGUAGAAUUCCCGGUGUAGCGGUGAAAUGCGUAGAGCUCGGGAGGAAUACCAGUGGCGAAGGCGGCCUUCUGGACUGACACUGACACUGAGGUGCGAAAGCGUGGGUAGCAAACAGGAUUAGAUACCCCGGUAGUC
RNAcentral lists this ribosomal RNA (465 nucleotides) under Vreelandella stevensii. Its description in RNAcentral is "partial 16S ribosomal RNA". It matches the Rfam family "Bacterial small subunit ribosomal RNA", at positions 338 to 795 of the family's 1533-position model. The record is from RNAcentral. Lineage: Bacteria; Pseudomonadati; Pseudomonadota; Gammaproteobacteria; Oceanospirillales; Halomonadaceae.